RNAcentral lists this ribosomal RNA (372 nucleotides) under Thraustochytriidae sp. Its description in RNAcentral is "Thraustochytriaceae sp. partial small subunit ribosomal RNA". It matches the Rfam family "Eukaryotic small subunit ribosomal RNA", at positions 582 to 975 of the family's 1831-position model. The record is from RNAcentral. Lineage: Eukaryota; Bigyra; Thraustochytrida; Thraustochytriidae.
AUUCCAGCUCCAAUAGCGAAUACUAAUUCUGCUGCAGUUAAAAAGCUCGUAGUUGAACUUCUGGUAGGACAGAUCCGGCCUUUGGAUGAAUGUCCAUUGUAUGCUGUGUGUCUUGUCUGGCCAUCCUUUAUGUCUUUUAGGCGUAAUCUUUCACUGUAAAAAAAUUAGGGUGUUUCAAGCAAAAGUUAUUUGGAAUAUAUUAGUAUGGGAUGAUAAGAUAGGCUCUUGAGUGCUACUUUGUUGGUUUCGAACACCGGAGUAAUGAUUAACAGGGACAGUCAGGGGCACUCGUAUUCCGCCGAGAGAGGUGAAAUUCUCAGACCAGCGGAAGACGAACCACUGCGAAAGCAUUUGCCAGGGAUGUUUUCAAUA